GACGAACGCUGGCGGCGUGCUUAACACAUGCAAGUCGAACGGAAAGGCCCUGCUUUUGUGGGGUGCUCGAGUGGCGAACGGGUGAGUAACACGUGAGUAACCUGCCCUUGACUUUGGGAUAACUUCAGGAAGCUGGGGCUAAUACCGGAUAGGAGCUCCUGCUGCAUGGUGGGGGUUGGAAAGUUUCGGCGGUUGGGGAUGGACUCGCGGCUUAUCAGCUUGUUGGUGGGGUUGUGGCUUACCAAGGCUUUGACGGGUAGCCGGCCUGAGAGGGUGACCGGCCACAUUGGGACUGAGAUACGGCCCAGACUCCUACGGGAGGCAGCAGUGGGGAAUAUUGCACAAUGGGCGGAAGCCUGAUGCAGCAACGCCGCGUGCGGGAUGACGGCCUUCGGGUUGUAAACCGCUUUCGCCUGUGACGAAGCGUGAGUGACGGUAAUGGGUAAAGAAGCACCGGCUAACUACGUG
This 468-nucleotide ribosomal RNA is filed under the name uncultured bacterium. Its description in RNAcentral is "partial 16S ribosomal RNA". It matches the Rfam family "Bacterial small subunit ribosomal RNA", at positions 28 to 507 of the family's 1533-position model. The record is from RNAcentral.